Molecule: long non-coding RNA, 791 nt
Filed under: Cricetulus griseus (Chinese hamster)
Lineage: Eukaryota; Metazoa; Chordata; Mammalia; Rodentia; Cricetidae
Description: lncRNA (ENSCGRG00015042614.1)
Source: RNAcentral
AGGCAACAAUUUCAGGAAUAGUCAGUAGGAAGCAGAGUCAGAGUCUAGCAAAGAAAGUUUAACAUAGACUUUAGCAUAAGGGUUAAGAGGAAGGGAGGAGGCACAGAAGCCACAAGACACAUUUGAAAGCAUGAGUGUGGGGUUGCCUGGGAGUCCUUCCUCAUCUUCACAAUACUCCACUAUACCAUUUUGGUGGGUUUUGAAGCUACUAUCUUAAAGGUCUGCUAAAUGAGAUCUCUGGAAGACAGGAUACGGGGUGGAGAGGCUGACAGGAUUGCACUCAAAACAGAAGAGUCUGGCUUGCCUGAAUACAUGUGCUGAAGAGGAAAUGAGGGAGAAGGAAGAGAAGAAUGAGAGGGGAAGAGGAAGGAGAAAAACAAAAGGUUUGACACACAGAGCCAAGUGGCUGUGGACCGGAACCUCUGGCACCCUUUGAAGCUCAGCAGAAAAAAUUUCACUCAGAAUGGUGUCAGAAAGAUGGCGGUGUAUCAACUAGGGAUGCCUCUACGUCCUUCAGUCCUUUACUGGACACCUAACUUGACAGCAGCAACAAUGGGCUCAGCACCAACAGCUGCUGUUUCAUCCAGAAACCAGCUGCCAGGUCCCCACAACUCACUCGGUUUUUCCACAAAAGAAGUGUGCAGGCCGAGCUGGAGAGAUGGCUCAGAGGUUAAGAGCACCAACUGCCCUUCCAGAGGUCCUGAGUUCAAUUCCCAGCAACCACAUGGUGGCUCACAACCAUCCGUUAUGAGAUCUGGUGCCCUCUUCUGGUGUGCAGAUAUACAUGGAAG